RNAcentral lists this long non-coding RNA (238 nucleotides) under Setaria italica (foxtail millet). Its description in RNAcentral is "long non-coding RNA (SITA_LNC000161)". The record is from RNAcentral. Lineage: Eukaryota; Viridiplantae; Streptophyta; Magnoliopsida; Poales; Poaceae.
AGGAAUUGAAGCACGUGUUGAUGAUUGUGACAAUGAGGGUACAUAUACAUGGAUGGAUAAAAAUAGAACUAUAUGAAUAUGCAUGAACAACUAGGAUUAUGAUGGUUCUAGCUGUACAGUACUUCAUUCACUUUAGCAAUGCACUUUGAGAGUAAGCUAAUAAAUAUACAAGGGAAAUAAAGGCAUUGUACACAGCUAAUAAAAAGCUUAAUUGCUAGAAAAUCCUGUAUGAUUUUUU